AUGGCGACGACCAGCAACAAGAAAAUGGCGUCGCCGUCGCCUAUGCCGGACAUGCCCGACCAGCUCCUCGCCGAGAUAUUCCUCCGGCUGCCCACCCCACAAGACCUCGCCCGCGCCUCCGCCGUCUGCCUCACCCUCCGCCGAAUCUCCACCGACAGGUCCUUCCUCCGCUGCUUCCGCUGCCUCCACGCACCACCGCUUCUCGGAUUCCUCGACCGCGACGGCUUCCACCCAGCCCUACCCUCCACCCCCGCCGUCCGCGCGGUCGCCGCCGCCGCCGAUUUCACCUUCUCCUUCCUCCCCUACCACCGCCGCUGGACCGUGCAGGACGUCCGCGACGGCCGCGUCCUCCUCUCCCGCAGCACCGGGAAACAUGGGCAGCCCCCGGUCUUCAGAGAUCUCGCGGUGUGCGACCCCUUGCACCGGCGCUACGUCCUGCUCCCCCCGCUACCUCACGACCUAGCUGCUUUGCUUGGGCACCCAUUCCCCCCGGUAACCGAGGCCUGCUGCAAGCGCUUCCUCGUUCCCCUCGGCGAGGAGGAGGCAGCGGCUGGAGACACAACAUUCAGAGUCAUCUUGAUGGCGUAUUGCAAAACCAGUCUGGCCGCCUUUGUCUUCUCUUCCAGCAACGAUCGAUGGCGAGCUACUGCAUCCAAGGAUUUGAGUGAUUUGGCCCUUGACGAGGGCGACAUGGAGGAGAUGUCAAGGGUCCAGCCUUUUAUUCCCAUGCGCCAUUAUGCUUAUGGCUGUUUCUACUGGGAUUGGGUGCAAUUCGGGAUGAAGAAGUUGCUCUUGCUUGACACCACCGACAUGGAGUUCUCCGCUGCUGACCUCCCACCAGGAGAAUGGAGCAAGGAAGGUAUAGCCAUUGUGGAGGCAGGGGAAGGCAGGCUCGGGAUCUUUGGUUUCCGUGGUGAACCUGCAUCCAGUCUCAGCUAUACCGCUGCACGGACCAAAGGCGAGAGUCCCAGCCAGUGGCAGAUGGAGAAGACAAUCUCACUAGAUUCUGGCUACAAAUAUUGUAUCAGAGAUGCAACACAGAGGUACUUGCUCUUGACAAGGAUAGAAGCAUCAUCUCUAAAUAAUCACCUUGUUGGAUAUUUCUCAAUGGAUAUCAAGACGUUGGAGCUUCAGAGGGUUUAUGAGAAACAACACUACUCUAAGUAUCAGACAUACACAUAUGUCAACUUCCCACCAUCAUUGUUGUCUUCAAGGAGAAUAUGAAGUGGUUUGACAGAGCAGUACGUAAUCAUAUCAGCAUUCUUAAUUCAAAGCGACCAUGGUUUCAACAGCUUGGAGUUCUCACAUACGUGAUCACUUUGCCUACAGAACAACACGAUCUACAUUGCCUUGCCUGGUGGUGGCCAUGUCAAUGUUUCGGUUAUUAGGCCUAACAUCAAUGUGGAAUUUCCCUGCCUAAGAAUGUGGCUUUGAUAUUAGGAGUUCAAGUCAAUUUUUUUCUUCAUUAUUAGUUAGAGUUGCUAAAACAGGUACAAUCUGACUAGUGGCAGAACGAUCACAACGGAACUGAUAACCAAUGUAAGGACAAUAUAAGCAGCACCAGCAUGCAGCUGGAGGGACUUGUUCUUUGUUGUUGCUGCUGCUGCUGUACGGUGAAGGGUAGGCAGCAAAAAAG
This 1636-nucleotide ribosomal RNA is filed under the name Triticum aestivum (bread wheat). RNAcentral describes it as "partial small subunit ribosomal RNA". Lineage: Eukaryota; Viridiplantae; Streptophyta; Magnoliopsida; Poales; Poaceae. The record is from RNAcentral.